ACAACGGCUCUUUUGAGAGCCACCCACAACACCUUUCAGAGCUGG
This is a non-coding RNA of Oryzias latipes (Japanese medaka), 45 nucleotides long. The record is from Rfam. Lineage: Eukaryota; Metazoa; Chordata; Actinopteri; Beloniformes; Adrianichthyidae.